AUACGGAGGGUCCGAGCGUUAUCCGGAAUCAUUGGGUUUAAAGGGUCCGUAGGCGGGAAUCUAGGUCAGUGGUGAAAUCUUGCAGCUCAACUGUAAAAUUGCCAUUGAUACUGGAUUUCUUGAAUUAGUGUGAAGUGGUUAGAAUGUGUAGUGUAGCGGUGAAAUGCAUAGAUAUUACACAGAAUACCAAUUGCGAAGGCAGAUCACUAACACUAUAUUGACGCUGAGGGACGAAAGCGUGGGGAGCGAACAGGAUUAGAAACCCUAGUAGUCC
RNAcentral lists this ribosomal RNA (274 nucleotides) under uncultured bacterium. RNAcentral describes it as "partial 16S ribosomal RNA". It matches the Rfam family "Bacterial small subunit ribosomal RNA", at positions 523 to 796 of the family's 1533-position model. The record is from RNAcentral.